CUAUUUUCUUGGCAUUCUCUUGUUAUGUGAGAAAAUAAAUGAUGGUGUUAUCAAAAGUAUUGGUCACUCAAUUAGGUUUAGAAUCAAAUUGUUUUAUUUUUCUUUUUCUUUUUUUUAGAAAAAAUAUCAAGUUAUUAUCUGUAGAGCAUUUAUCAGAAAAAAUCUUCAAGGUUAACAAGAGCAGAUUAUUUUUGUUCAAAUAAGCAUAAUAUUUACUUCAUGUGCUAAAUUUAAUAAGAAUAAUUAACCUUCUAAUAAACAAGAGCAAAGGAAUGUAUUCAUAUAUAGACUGACACUUGAUUAGAGCUGUUUACUGAAUUUGGACUGUGUAGCAGUUUCUCUAGCUAAUUGCUCCAGUUGCCAUUUUUUUAGAGAAUUGUAUAUGCAAUUGUAACUAUUUAUCUCACUAGACUUGUAGCCUUUCUGGCAGUCUAAUUGCAAACUGAAGUCCAUUGCGAAAGUGACCUACAGUCUAUUUGAUUUCAUUUUUCCAAUUUAUUUUGCAACUGCAGAAAGUUUGCAGUUACAGCAAAACAGACAGUUGCAAUUAUAGCUGUUUUUUGGCAAAUUUUAUGUGUAGUUAUAGAUGCAGUUGAAGCUACAGUUAUAAUUGUUAUGUGCGAGUUGGGAACAAUUCUUUUGCAGUAAAGUUUAUUCAUUCCCUCCAUAGUUAUGUGAUGAAGGAUUGCGCUUGUUCAUGUCUAAAUUUCUUAUGCACAUGGAAAGCUUUGAUAAGCCCCUUAAACUCCUGUGGUGAGGAUCCUAUCUCAAACUUCUUACUUAAAAAUACUUGUAAUCUUCAUUUUCUCACUCUAUUUCCACUCUUUGUCAUCUGCCCUAGCAAAUACUUCAAGGUCAAAACUGAUGAGAAGAGUCAGAGUUCAAGGAAGAGGCAACACAAAGUUAUAUCCUAUACUCACUUCAAUUGUUUGUUGUAUGGCAUGUUGAUCCAUUUAGUUAUAUGACCUGAUUUUUAAUAUUCUGAUUUAUUCGACAGGCUUCAACAUUGUUUAUGAUAUUGUUUAUUCA
Long non-coding RNA from Asparagus officinalis (garden asparagus), 1029 nucleotides. RefSeq lists it as uncharacterized. The record is from RefSeq and is a predicted model, not a curated record. Lineage: Eukaryota; Viridiplantae; Streptophyta; Magnoliopsida; Asparagales; Asparagaceae. The transcript has 2 exons.